GUGCAUGUACAUCUGUUUUCACUUUUGUCAAAUACUCUUCAGACGUCUCUUCUUCCAUUUCAGUUCUCUUUCUUUACUGUCACUAUUUAAUUUUUUUUCUCCGCCAAAUUGAUGCAUUCCUUUGCUCCAAAGUGGUCCUUCUUCAACGUUGGCGGCAUAUUUGAAUGGGUUAGUUUUUUCGUUUUUUCAUCAGUUUAUUUUUCUGAAAAUUUUAUGCCUCUUUUAUAUUGAAACAAUUGGACCGGGUAAUUUAAUUUAAGGCGCUUCUUCAAUGGAUGAUUGGGGAAAGAUUAUAUCCAUUAUUUGCAUAUUAUUUUUCAUGACCUCUUAUUGUUUGAAGUUUCUUGAAUUUUGUAUCUUCAAUGAGAUUUGGGUAUCCAAAGUUACUGCAUGUGAGUAUUUCGCCAAUUUUUGCUUAUUUUCUAUUUGGAGUGUGGCGAAGAGGAGAUAGUUCUCGGCGGCUUCACCAGCAACAAUUUCACGGCGCUAUUUGUCCAGUAGGGCAGUUGAUCGGUUAACUUUCAUUUUCUCUUUGGAGGCUUUAGGAACUGUUAAAAUGGGUAUGGGCUAUUCACCUUCUGCUUUGUUUAUCACUGUGGAGGUUUACUCACUGUGGAGAUUUUACUCUAUAUUGGAGCCUGUCAAGAAUAUGGGGAAGAGUAUUAAACAAGUCCUGAAGUGAUUUUGGUUAGCUUUUACAGUUUGAAAAAUGAUAAAAUACGCAUACACUCUCUGAAAUUUUUGCCAAUGUUUAUUUUCAACUAUGAUUUUCUGUUGGUUAUUCUAAAUGCAUGUUAUGUUGGUGCAUGAUUUUCACAUCGAUGCCCAUGUGAUGUUUGAAAAUAUGUCUGAAGGAAUUGAUUCUUUAGCCAUCUUUUCAAUGUCCAAGCAAACAUUAACUUCAACAAUGCUCUUGAGAUUUUGUUCCUCGCUCUUUCAGAGGUAAGUAAUCUUAUUUUGGGAAUUUACUUAUUGUCUCUACUGAUGUUGAUUUGUUAGUUAUUUAAUUUGUUGGACUUUCUACAUCAUAUAUUCGUGGAAUUGGCCCAAUCUUCAAGUCUAAUGAGCCAAACGGAAAAUUUCAGACCUAUUUCAGUUUAAUGUUCAGUUUCACUAUUUCGUUUUUACAUGUUUGACCUGUUCAGUUACGUGUAAGUUUUUAUCAUAAAUCAUUUCACUUUGUUGAUGGUUCAAUACUUUAUUUUUAGACCAAAUAUAAUAGGUUUACAAGGCAAUGCUCCAUAUGAAGAGAAAUUUGUAUUAGUGGAUGAUGAAAAAAGAGUGAAGGAAAUAGAGAUUAUCGUACAUUUCGCCUUAUACAUAUAUACAAGCCAAGAUUAAAUUUCAGAAAGUUUGAUUACCUGACAAGGAAUAAAAGGUUAAUUGGUUUGAAUUUUGAAGAUGAGCAAUAUUUCUGUGCAAGCUGCACAAAGUAAUGCUUUUUGUCAGCCUUCAUUUUAUUUCUCUCAGUUAUUUUGAUGAGCUUUUUAUGCACAGAAUUUGGACUGCCAACAGUUAAUUGUUUGGGAGUCGGAGGCUGUUUCCAUCCUUUUUAAAAAGAUUUAGGACCUAGCAAGUCCAGCAUACUACUCAAAUUCAUUUAUGAACAUUGCCGGCACAGUUGGUUCUAAUUUCUAAGGCAUUUUACUGUUAAUGAUUUAGGCAGUACCUCUUAGCGCAAGGAAAGCAACAGGUGGAUCCAGUGAAGGGUAUGCACCAUUUUUGCAGCUGCCACACUUUAGCGAGGUUGUUGUUAAAAAGAUUGCGACAAAGGUAACACUAGGGGUAGAUAUCCAUCUCAAAGGGUUCUGGAUUCAGGAAUGGUGGUGUACGAAGGCGAGGAAACUAUGGAGGCGGUGGUAGGGGCUAUAAUCGUGUGAUUUCAAUGGAAGAAGCGAGUUCAACAACCGAGGUGGUAAUCGUGGAGGGUCAUCCAACCGUGGAGGUGAUGGAUAUCAGCUAACCGACAACAUGGGAGGCAACAGCGCGCGGAUGAAUCGCGGUGGGGGAUGUCAAAUGAAACUGCCAAAAAUAUGACACCACGGAACUGCUACAGCUUAAGUAGUAUCAGGCAAAUAAGUCAGCUAAUUUAAAAUUUUGUCAAUUGAGGCUGAAGGAAUGCCUAUGGUAUUCACAAGUGACCCGGCCAUUGAUGAAGAAGGAAAUGUCUAUUAUAUGGUAAGCAGCAUCAACUACCAACGAAGGUUAUGUUGGUGAAACCACUCCAGAGUUUCAUAUGAUUUGACAUGACCAAUUGUGAACACAGCAGCAUAUGCUCUUCAGUUUGAAUUUACAAAGUCUAAAGUCUAAACAGUGGCCACGACACUUCCAACUUUUAUAUCAAAAUUACAUUUAAACAAAAAAACUCUGAUGUAAUUCUGAUUGUGAUAUACAAAAUUAAGCGCUUACAAAUCAUAGUUAGUACAA
This is a long non-coding RNA of Capsicum annuum, 2427 nucleotides long. RefSeq lists it as uncharacterized. The record is from RefSeq and is a predicted model, not a curated record. Lineage: Eukaryota; Viridiplantae; Streptophyta; Magnoliopsida; Solanales; Solanaceae. The transcript has 4 exons.